CCCUUCAAGUCAUGUCAUAAGACCGGAUGGCAAAUUCGAGAUGUUAAAGAUUAAGUAACCUAAACAAAAGGUAUCAAUCUGUUUAGACAUACUAAAAAAGAAAGACUUCCACCUAAAAUAGGACAGAUGGAGUAAUUUGUUUUACUGUUUACACUAUUAGUUUAUACUCCUUCAAUCCCAAAAAGAAUGAUACGUAUUCUCAUGACUUAUAGCCACAAAAAUUUCUCUCACUUGUUUUAAAUCACAAAUUUCCAAGUCUUUUUUUUAUUCUUAAACUACUUGCCAGAUAAAUCGGGAAGGAGGGAGUAUAAUUUAAGGCCAGUCAUAGCUUAAAUUAAGCGUCUAGCCAAACAAUUUGCCACAUAAAAUGAAAUGCAGAGGAAAGGGUAAAACAGGAGAAACACUGACAACAGCAAAGCGAUGGCCUUUGGUCGAGGUAACGGAACCAGUCAACUGACGAACAGCGCAUGUUUGAAACAGAUCCGACCGGUCGCAAUGUCUCUCAAUUGCAGACCCUAAACCUAAUUAAAUUCAAAGAAUCUUAAAUAAAAACCAAAGAACAUUAAAUUAAUUUUAAAAAUAAAAAUAGAUUAAAGAAAUGUGUUUGACCUUGAGAUUGGGUGAAUGAUAGUGCAGGUGAAGAGGUUAAGCUU
This 653-nucleotide long non-coding RNA is filed under the name Nicotiana tabacum (common tobacco). RNAcentral's name for it is "long non-coding RNA (NTAB_LNC007325)". The record is from RNAcentral. Lineage: Eukaryota; Viridiplantae; Streptophyta; Magnoliopsida; Solanales; Solanaceae.